RNAcentral lists this ribosomal RNA (824 nucleotides) under Stachybotrys limonispora. RNAcentral's name for it is "eukaryotic LSU rRNA". It matches the Rfam family "Eukaryotic large subunit ribosomal RNA", at positions 74 to 935 of the family's 3401-position model. Lineage: Eukaryota; Fungi; Ascomycota; Sordariomycetes; Hypocreales; Stachybotryaceae. The record is from RNAcentral.
AUUGCCUCAGUAACGGCGAGUGAAGCGGCAACAGCUCAAAUUUGAAAUCUGGCCCUAGGCCCGAGUUGUAAUUUGCAGAGGAUGCUUUUGGCGCGGUGCCUUCCGAGUUCCCUGGAACGGGACGCCAUAGAGGGUGAGAGCCCCGUCUGGUCGGACACCAAGCCUCUGUAAAGCUCCUUCGACGAGUCGAGUAGUUUGGGAAUGCUGCUCAAAAUGGGAGGUAUAUGUCUUCUAAAGCUAAAUACCGGCCAGAGACCGAUAGCGCACAAGUAGAGUGAUCGAAAGAUGAAAAGCACUUUGGAAAGAGAGUUAAACAGCACGUGAAAUUGUUAAAAGGGAAGCGUUUAUGACCAGACUUGGGCCGGUUAAUCAUCCAGCGUUCUCGCUGGUGCACUUUGCCGGUCCAGGCCAGCAUCAGUUCGCUGCGGGGGAUAAAGGCGUCGGGAAUGUGGCUCCUCGGAGUGUUAUAGCCCUUCGCGUAAUACCCUGCGGUGGACUGAGGUUCGCGCUCUGCAAGGAUGCUGGCGUAAUGGUCAUCAACGACCCGUCUUGAAACACGGACCAAGGAGUCGUCUUCGUAUGCGAGUGUUCGGGUGUAAAACCCCUACGCGUAAUGAAAGUGAACGCAGGUGAGAGCUUCGGCGCAUCAUCGACCGAUCCUGAUGUUCUCGGAUGGAUUUGAGUAAGAGCAUACGGGGCCGGACCCGAAAGAAGGUGAACUAUGCCUGUAUAGGGUGAAGCCAGAGGAAACUCUGGUGGAGGCUCGCAGCGGUUCUGACGUGCAAAUCGAUCGUCAAAUAUGGGCAUGGGCGCGAAAGACUAAU